RNAcentral lists this ribosomal RNA (22 nucleotides) under Gyrodactylus truttae. RNAcentral describes it as "partial 5.8S ribosomal RNA". The record is from RNAcentral. Lineage: Eukaryota; Metazoa; Platyhelminthes; Monogenea; Gyrodactylidea; Gyrodactylidae.
CACGUUCGAUCGAGUGUCGGCU